UACGUAGGUCCCGAGCGUUGUCCGGAUUUAUUGGGCGUAAAGCGAGCUCAGGUGGUUUAUUAAGUCUGGUGUAAAAGGCAGUGGCUCAACCAUUGUAUGCAUUGGAAACUGGUAGACUUGAGUGCAGGAGAGGAGAGUGGAAUUCCAUGUGUAGCGGUGAAAUGCGUAGAUAUAUGGAGGAACACCGGUGGCGAAAGCGGCUCUCUGGCCUGUAACUGACACUGAGGCUCGAAAGCGUGGGGAGCAAACAGG
This 252-nucleotide ribosomal RNA is filed under the name uncultured bacterium. Its description in RNAcentral is "partial 16S ribosomal RNA". It matches the Rfam family "Bacterial small subunit ribosomal RNA", at positions 524 to 776 of the family's 1533-position model. The record is from RNAcentral.